ACUCACCUGAUUUUAAUGACAUCAUUGUUACUUACAAUACGAACAGACUAAAUAAAAUGAGCAUCGUAACUUCAGACGAAUGUUUGCAGUGGUUUAUGAAAAAAAAAAUUAUUUCUUAAAUUAAAAGAGAUUAUUAAAUAACAAAACAAAAUACUAUUCAGGAAAAAUAUUUAAUACUUUUCCUUAAUACUUUUUAGGCCGGAUAUUUGAUAAAUUUUAGGUGAUCAUCAUGGUAAAGAUAUUUAUGAUGUAUUUACCUUACCAAAAUAUUUAGACUUAUUUUUAGUUUUUUUUUAAGUAAAAGAAAAAAAAGACAACGUUUUAAGAAAAUACGCCUCAGAGCGAGGUAACGCCACAUGAGUCGUGUUUAAUCGUGCGUGCAGCCGGCUCUAUCGAAUUAUAAGACGUUGUCACGUCAAUAAUAUAAAAAUAAGCUACAAAUCGUAUAUUUUUAUUAACUACAUUACAACUAAAACUUAACACUGUUUUUAAGAUGGAAAAACAAAAGAAAAUCAAACAAUCAAUAUUAAUUUAGUUUUUUUCUCCAAUAUUAUAUUUAAAAUUAGAAUAAUUCUCUCAAAGCUAAGUAAAGUAAAGCUGUAAUUCUAAAAAAAAAAAUGAAAAAGAAAAACAUAUCAUCCCGUUUGUUUGGAACUAUUGUCCCAUCUGUUGGCCGAAUGCCUAAUACCUGUACCACGAGCCGCGACGUGACCUCGACCUCUUUCCUAACGUAUUUCGGGAAAAAUAAGUCGAAUCGUAAGGUUAACGAAACAUUAUUAGAUUGGUGAAGAGAAUAGGCCUUAUUUUCUCAGUUUGAUCCUUCUUUCCAGAAACUUCUUCAUGCAACGUACUGAUAAACUGUUUUGACGUUUUAGAUUUAAGCAAGAGAGGUGUUUAGUAGAAUCAGUAUUAUGUUAUUACAGACGUAAAGAGUUAUGCGUGCUAUGAAAGUAAAUUUAUUCAUAGAUUUCAGAUACAUUACUUUAUCUGACACGAAUUUUUUCUAUCGUCUUUUUUCAUGUUACGACCCAAUUUCACUAAAAUCGAUAUAAUAUAAGAGUGGAUGUUUUUUCGUGAGAAAUCUGUGCACGUAAAAAACCAGAUGCGGGCAGAAUAAUUUUUCGCUCUCUGGCGACCGAGGUUUAAUUUGGGCGCACUCUCGACGCCCAACUACUUUAGAAUAGAUGAAGAAGCAGCGUUCAGUUUUCAGCGAAUUCAAAAUUCAUUAUCAAACUGUUAACGUAUUAAAUUUAUUUAAACUAGACUGGAUGAAAAAGUUUAUAGAAUUAUUAUAAAUUACCUAUAUACUGGAUGAAACAUAUUUUUUUUUACAAAUAAUUUGUAAUUGAUAUAAUUUAAAGUCAAUAUAUUUCAGUAUUUAAAGACAAA
Molecule: long non-coding RNA, 1389 nt
Organism: Bombyx mori (domestic silkworm)
Lineage: Eukaryota; Metazoa; Arthropoda; Insecta; Lepidoptera; Bombycidae
Exons: 2
Source: RefSeq, a predicted model, not a curated record